RNAcentral lists this long non-coding RNA (391 nucleotides) under Homo sapiens (human). RNAcentral describes it as "HSALNT0389484". Lineage: Eukaryota; Metazoa; Chordata; Mammalia; Primates; Hominidae. The record is from RNAcentral.
ACACUCAGGUUUCACUUCUGAGCCCCAGCUGUGGUAUCUACUGGCCUGGACUUGAGCUAGUCACUUUAUUUUCUGAGCUUCAGUUUGCUCACUGGACGAGUAGGAAAGUCAUUCCUGUCUGGCUUAACUAGAGGGCCUGUGGUGAGGCAUAAACUGGAGAAGAAAAUCAAACCAUCUGGUGAACUGUCAAGCUCAAUUUCCCUCUUUAAGGAAGAAAGGAAAGUGUUUUCCUGGAUACUAGAUAUGCUGAGUUGGGACAGGAGCUAAGGAUAGAGGUGAGGAAACCCGCAGACAACAGCGACAUGCUCCUCAUCUUUGAGUCCCAGCGAACCUUUCCACUGUGUGUGUGUGAUCUCACUCUGUUCCCCAGGCUGGAAUGCAGUUAACUGAU